UGGGGUGAGGGAACAUUUCUAACCCCACUGCCCCACUCCAUACUUAUUAUUAACCGGGUUUGUUACAGUAGUGCCCAAGGGCAGAGCUCAGGGAGUUUCCUACCGGGGCUGCCAUCCCCCCGGCUGUCUGGUUCUCUUGCUGGGGGGAGUGUAUGGGUGGGGGGGUCCUUCUCCCCUCCUCACUCUCUCUGCGGAUCUCGCUCUUCCUCUCCGCUCCCUUCCUGUGCAUCUGCCCCCCAGCGGGGACACACUGGGGGCCCAGCCCGCCUCUGUCACUGGUGAGGCAAGCUGUCCUGAGGUCAUUGCCCCGUGGAAAGCAAUUGCUGUCUGUCAAAAGAGCUAAGUAUUAAUAUUUGCCUUUCCCUCUCCCCCCAGGGGGCUGUGACCUGUACCUCAGAGGGGGAAGCCCCUAAGUAAAUGUAUGCUGUCUGUAACGAUGCUCCUGUGUGGGCUGGUGGUGAGGGUUCCACUCAAGCCCUCUGUAGCUAAAAACGUGGGCCCCUGCGGCCUGAGUGUCUUUACAGCAGCAGACUGCUAAAGGAGGAAAGAGACUCAUCCGAUUGGCCUGGGUUACAUAUAAACCCAUAUGUCCUUCCCUGCAGGAAUGGGAACAGGCCCGGUAAGAAGAGGGACAUAAGACAGAUGCUGUUAAUGUAAUGACUAGUAGAGGAAAGGGCAUAAAUGCCCCCUAAGCCCCAAAGGAGAGGUGGGGUUCUUUCCUUUGCCAUGUCAAAAGCCGCUGGUGUCUGCCCUCAGGCGAGUCUUGGGUCCUAAGACCAUCCCAAACCUAGUGGGCGUGCCAGGCACUCCCAAGCAAUGGAAGGAGCCAUUAAACUUCUUUGUGAAGUGGAGCCAGUGGCAAACAAUGGGGACUACCGCCCAAGACUAAGCCGGAGCAAUUCUUUUAGAAAGAGACUUCCCAAGCUCGACUGAAAGGUUCCAGUUCAUGGAGAAUCCACCUGGGGAGUUGUUCUCUUUGAUUUAGGUAGUUUUAGGACCCCAGUAGCCAUAACACCCCUGUGAGGGUCAUUGUACAAAGAGGAAACUGAGGCAUGGAGCGUUUAAGUGACUAGCCCAAGGUCAGUUUGUGACAGAGCAAUGGCUUGAACACAGGUCCACCACGUCUCCACCUAGCACCCUAAUGACUAUACCAUCCUUCUUCCCCUUUUUUCAGCUAGAAUAAUACAUUCCUCACACACCAGUCUUCCCAGUGACAUCAGUGGCACUACUCAGCGGAAAGGUGAUGAACUCAGGCCCUGCUAUAUCUUUUGCGAAGUGCCUGGCUCAUUUGAGGGCACUAUAAAAAAAAGUAAAUUCUGCCCCCCAAAAAACUGUAUUAAGGUUCAGAAA
Molecule: long non-coding RNA, 1350 nt
Filed under: Chrysemys picta bellii (western painted turtle)
Lineage: Eukaryota; Metazoa; Chordata; Testudines; Emydidae
Description: lncRNA (ENSCPBG00000009995.1)
Source: RNAcentral